GAUGAACGCUGGCGGCGUGCCUAAUACAUGCAAGUCGAGCGAACAGACGAGGAGCUUGCUCCUCUGACGUUAGCGGCGGACGGGUGAGUAACACGUGGAUAACCUACCUAUAAGACUGGGAUAACUUCGGGAAACCGGAGCUAAUACCGGAUAAUAUAUUGAACCGCAUGGUUCAAUAGUGAAAGACGGUUUGCUGUCACUUAUUGAUGGAUCCGCGCCGCAUUAGCUAGUUGGUAAGGUAACGGCUUACCAAGGCAACGAUGCGUAGCCGACCUGAGAGGGUGAUCGGCCACACUGGAACUGAGACACGGUCCAGACUCCUACGGGAGGCAGCAGUAGGGAAUCUUCCGCAAUGGGCGAAAGCCUGACGGAGCAACGCCGCGUGAGUGAUGAAGGUCUUCGGAUCGUAAAACUCUGUUAUUAGGGAAGAACAAAUGUGUAAGUAACUAUGCACGUCUUGACGGUACCUAAUCAGAAAGCCACGGCUAACUACGUG
Molecule: ribosomal RNA, 496 nt
Filed under: uncultured bacterium
Lineage: Bacteria
Description: partial 16S ribosomal RNA
Rfam family: Bacterial small subunit ribosomal RNA
Source: RNAcentral